This 484-nucleotide ribosomal RNA is filed under the name uncultured bacterium. Its description in RNAcentral is "partial 16S ribosomal RNA". It matches the Rfam family "Bacterial small subunit ribosomal RNA", at positions 30 to 507 of the family's 1533-position model. The record is from RNAcentral.
AUUGAACGCUGGCGGCAGGCCUAACACAUGCAAGUCGAGCGGAUGAAGGGAGCUUGCUCCUGGAUUCAGCGGCGGACGGGUGAGUAAUGCCUAGGAAUCUGCCUGGUAGUGGGGGCUAACGUCCGGAAACGGGCGCUAAUACCGCAUACGUCCUGAGGUAGAAAGUGGGGGAUCUUCGGACCCCACGCUAUCAGAUGAGCCUAGGUCGGAUUAGCUAGUUGGUUGGGUAAAGGCCUACCAAGGCGACGAUCCGUAACUGGUCUGAGAGGAUGAUCAGUCACACUGGAACUGAGACACGGUCCAGACUCCUACGGGAGGCAGCAGUGGGGAAUAUUGGACAAUGGGCGAAAGCCUGAUCCAGCCAUGCCGCGUGUGUGAAGAAGGUCUUCGGAUUGUAAAACACUUUAAGUUGGGAGGAAGGGAAGUAAGUUAAUCCCUUGCUGUUUUGACGUUACCAACAGAAUAAGCACCGGCUAACUUCGUG